This is an RNA transcript of Oryza brachyantha (malo sina), 2152 nucleotides long. It is a transcript of the gene named serine/threonine-protein kinase STN7, chloroplastic, with no coding region annotated. The transcript has 11 exons. Lineage: Eukaryota; Viridiplantae; Streptophyta; Magnoliopsida; Poales; Poaceae. The record is from RefSeq and is a predicted model, not a curated record.
CGCAUUUUUCGAACUAAAGAGAAAGAGAAGGAAAAAAAAAGGAAAGAAAAAAAAUGGCCACCGGUAGCCUUGGCCUCUCCACCUCCUUCCUCCCCGGCCACGACACCCUCCUCCGCCGCCGGCGCCGGCGGACGCUGCCGGCGGCGUCGUUCCGCCCGGUGACGGCGGAGCUCGGCGGCGAGAUGGGGCGGCAGCUGGUGGAGGCGGUCGGGGUGGGGCUCCCCUGCACGGUGAUGGCGUGCGGCGACGUCAUCUACCGCAGCACGCUCCCGCGCAACGACGGGCUCACCAUCACCGCCCCGGGCGUGGCGCUCGCGCUCGCCGCCGUGUCCUACCUCUGGUCCACCCCCGGCGUCGCGCCGGGCUUCUUCGACAUGUUCGUCCUCGCCUUCGCCGAGCGCGUCUUCCGCCCUUCCUUCCGCAAGGAUGAUUUCGUGCUCGGGAAGAAGCUCGGGGAGGGCGCGUUCGGAGUCGUCUACAAGGCGUCGGUGGCUGACCCCAAAGCGGCGGAGAAGCAAGGUGAUGUUGUUGUGAAGAAGGCAACAGAGUAUGGUGCAGUGGAGAUAUGGAUGAACGAGCGCGUCAGGAGGGCCUGUGCCAGCAGCUGUGCGGAUUUUAUUUAUGGCUUUCGUGAGAGCAAAGCUAAAGGUAAGGGGGCUGAUGAAUACUGGCUCAUUUGGCGCUAUGAAGGUGAGGAUACACUUUUCGAUCUCAUGCAGAGCAAGGAGUUCCCUUACAAUGUUGAGACAAAGAUUCUUGGAGAUGUUCAAAACCUGCCAAAGGGAGUAGCAAGGGAGAACAAGAUUAUUCAAACAGUAAUGAGACAGCUUUUAUUUGCUGUUGAUGGGCUUCAUUCAACUGGGAUUGUUCACAGAGACAUAAAACCCCAAAAUGUGAUAUUUUCAGAAGGAUCUCGCACCUUCAAAAUCAUCGAUCUUGGAGCAGCUGCUGAUUUGCGAGUAGGAAUCAACUAUAUUCCUAGCGAGUUCCUUUUAGAUCCAAGGUAUGCUGCACCAGAGCAAUAUAUAAUGAGCACACAAACGCCUUCUGCUCCCUCUGCUCCAGUUGCAACUGCAUUAUCUCCAGUCCUUUGGCAGUUGAACCUUCCUGACAGAUUUGACAUAUAUAGCCUGGGCCUCAUAUUCUUGCAAAUGGCAUUUCCAUCAUUGAGAACAGACAGCAGCCUCAUACAAUUUAACCGCCAACUGAAGAGGUGCAACUACGACUUAGAAGCUUGGAGGAAUUUGGUAGAGCCACGAGCUACUCCAGAGCUCCGAAGGGGCUUUGACAUCUUGGAUUUAGAUGGUGGUAUUGGAUGGGAACUUCUCACAUCUAUGGUCCGGUACAAAGCACGGCAAAGGACUGCUGCUAAGGCUGCAUUAGCACAUCCAUAUUUCAACCGUGAGGGGCUCCUUGGCCUCUCUGUAAUGCAAAACUUGAGGUUGCAACUGCUUCGUGCAACCCAGAAAGACUACAGUGAAGCAGCCCGUUGGGUCAUCGGCCUCAUGGCAAGAUCAGGAACAGAAACUGAAGGAGGUUUUACAGAGGCACAGCUUCAAGAACUUAGGGAAAUUAAACCAAAGAAAGGCGGUGCACGGAGGAACUUGCUUGCUUCCGUGUUGCGUGUGCAGAGAAAGAUCGUGAGGACAAUCAACGAAAGCAUGGAUGAGCUUAGCAGCCAGAGCAAAAGCAUUUGGUGGAGCCGUUGGAUACCAAAGGAGGAGUAGGCACAGACGCAGCUCUGUGCCUCUCUGUACAUCACCCCAUUUCUUCUGUAAAAACCUCGCCCUGCAGCAAUGGUGUACAUAUAUUUGACAUGGAAGCAAAUUUUCAGAGACCCUUAUCAUAAGGUCAUAACAGGUCACCUGUACUUGAUUAAUCGUGAUGGAUUGAUUGCUGCUCGGGAAGUGUCUUCAUCAUGUGGAACUCCUACCAAGAGACCCAUGGCAGGUGGUCAUAAUGAUUAAUGAAUCCUCAUAAGUGGAACUGAACCUCGUGAUGGCUUAUGGAGUGAUUGAAACCAUGUUUGGGGAGCUUUUGGCAAGUGGAAAUUUUUCUAGAAUCUCUUUCAACCAAACAAUCCAGACUGUUGUAGUUGUAGAUCUAGAAAAACUAAAGUCAAAAACUGAAAAAACAAGUUCUUUGUUUUCUU